Molecule: long non-coding RNA, 540 nt
Filed under: Salmo salar (Atlantic salmon)
Lineage: Eukaryota; Metazoa; Chordata; Actinopteri; Salmoniformes; Salmonidae
Description: lncRNA (ENSSSAG00000103432.1)
Source: RNAcentral
GUAACAACAGGUAGCCUCAAUAUUAACAGAGGGUACUGUAGGUAGGGGUAAGGUAACAACAGGUAGUCUCAAUAUUAACAGAGGGUACUGUAGGUAGGGGUAAGGUAACAACAGGUAGUCUCAAUAUUAACAGAGGGUACUGUAGGUAGGGGUAAGGUAACAACAGGUAGUCUCAAUAUUAACAGAGGGUACUGUAGGUAGGGGUAAGGUAACAACAGGUAGUCUCAAUAUUAACAGAGGGUACUGUAGGUAGGGGUAAGGUAACAACAGGUAGUCUCAAUAUUAACAGAGGGUACUGUAGGUAGGGGUAAGGUAACAACAGGUAGUCUCAAUAUUAACAGAGGGUACUGUAGGUAGGGGCAAGGUACAACAGGUAGUCUCAAUAUUAACAGAGGGUACUGUAGGUAGGGGUAAGGUAACAACAGGUAGUCUCAAUAUUAACAGAGGGUACUGUAGGUAUGGGUAAGGUAGAGGCAGGUAGCCUCAAUAUUAACAGAGGGUCCUGUAGGUAGGGGUAAGGUAGAGGCAGGUAGCCUUGAG